This 460-nucleotide ribosomal RNA is filed under the name uncultured bacterium. RNAcentral's name for it is "partial 16S ribosomal RNA". It matches the Rfam family "Bacterial small subunit ribosomal RNA", at positions 338 to 795 of the family's 1533-position model. The record is from RNAcentral.
CCUACGGGUGGCAGCAGUGAGGAAUAUUGGUCAAUGGACGAGAGUCUGAACCAGCCAAGUAGCGUGAAGGAUGACUGCCCUAUGGGUUGUAAACUUCUUUUAUAUGGGAAUAAAAUGUUCCACGUGUGGGAUUUUGUAUGUACCAUAUUAAUAAGGAUCGGCUAACUCCGUGCCAGCAGCCGCGGUAAUACGGAGGAUCCGAGCGUUAUCCGGAUUGAUUGGGUUUAAAGGGAGCGUAGGUGGAUUGUUAAGUCAGUUGUGAAAGUUUGCGGCUCAACCGUAAAAUUGCAGUUGAAACUGGUAGACGUGAGUACAGUAGAGGUGGGCGGAAGUUGUGGUGUAGCGGUGAAAUGCGUAGAUAGCACGAAGAACUCCGAUUGCGAAGGCAGCUCACUGGACUGCAACUGACACUGAGGCUCGAAAGUGUGGGUAUCAAACAGGAUUAGAUACCCUUGUAGUC